RNAcentral lists this long non-coding RNA (476 nucleotides) under Mustela putorius furo (domestic ferret). RNAcentral's name for it is "lncRNA (ENSMPUG00000025163.1)". The record is from RNAcentral. Lineage: Eukaryota; Metazoa; Chordata; Mammalia; Carnivora; Mustelidae.
CCAGGUCCCACUAAUCUUCCCAGGAAAGAAAUGGACAGCUCUCAUACUUUGGGCCACUAGGCAUUGGUUGCCAAUUGGGAACAUCAUCAGAAAACUUUCUUAAAAUGGUCAUUGGACAGAGAAAGAGAGAGCACUGUGAGCGUAUGGGGGCAGGAAGGAGCAGAAGAAGAGGCAGAGAAUCUCAAGGAGACGCCCUGUUCGGUGUGGAGCCCAGUAUAGGACAGGCCUCUAUCCCACAACCCUGAGAUCAUGACCUGAGCCAAAAUCAAGAGUCGGUCACUUAACUGACCGAGCCACCCAAACGCCCCAUCAAUUUUCUGAAUAUAACUUAGAAGUAGAAUUGCUAGACCAUAUGGCACAUUUUUUUCAGGAACUGACAUACUCUUUUCUACAGAGGCUAUACCAGUUACAUCCCCACACAGUGGGAACACUCCCCCUGGAAAUUGGCAAGCCUUUCACAGACUCCAGGUUUCCAA